RNAcentral lists this ribosomal RNA (465 nucleotides) under uncultured bacterium. RNAcentral describes it as "partial 16S ribosomal RNA". It matches the Rfam family "Bacterial small subunit ribosomal RNA", at positions 28 to 507 of the family's 1533-position model. The record is from RNAcentral.
GACGAACGCUGGCGGCGUGCUUAAUACAUGCAAGUCGAACGGAGAGGCUCCUUUGGGGGAACUCGUGUGGCGAACGGGAAAGUAACACGUGAGUAACCGGCCCUUGACUUCGGGCUAACUUCAGGAAACUGGGGCUAAUACCAGUAAGGCAUACUUACUGUAUAGACGGGGUUGGAAAGUUUCAGCGGCUUUGGCUGGACUCGCGGCUGAUCAGCCGUUGUGUGGGUUAGUUGCUUACCAAGGCUCUGACGGGUAGGCGGCCUGAGAGGUCGACCGGCCACAUUGGGACUGAGGUACGGCCCAGACUCCUACGGGCGGCAGCGGUGGGGAAUAUUGCACAACGGGCGGAAGCCUGUUGCGGCAGCGUCGCGUGCGGGAUGACGUCCUUCGGGUUGUAAACCGCUUUCAGCAGGGGAGACGCUUGUAGUGACGGUACCUGCCGAAGAAGCACCGGCUAACUACGUG